GAGUUUGAUCAUGGCUCAGAGCGAACGCUGGCGGCAGGCCUAACACAUGCAAGUCGAACGAACUCUUCGGAGUUAGUGGCGGACGGGUGAGUAACACGUGGGAACGUGCCUUUAGGUUCGGAAUAACUCAGGGAAACUUGUGCUAAUACCGAAUGUGCCCUUCGGGGGAAAGAUUUAUCGCCUUUAGAGCGGCCCGCGUCUGAUUAGCUAGUUGGUGAGGUAAAGGCUCACCAAGGCGACGAUCAGUAGCUGGUCUGAGAGGAUGAUCAGCCACAUUGGGACUGAGACACGGCCCAAACUCCUACGGGAGGCAGCAGUGGGGAAUCUUGCGCAAUGGGCGAAAGCCUGACGCAGCCAUGCCGCGUGAAUGAUGAAGGUCUUAGGAUUGUAAAAUUCUUUCACCGGGACGAUAAUGACGUACCCGGAGAAG
This 430-nucleotide ribosomal RNA is filed under the name Brevundimonas intermedia. RNAcentral's name for it is "bacterial SSU rRNA". It matches the Rfam family "Bacterial small subunit ribosomal RNA", at positions 9 to 487 of the family's 1533-position model. The record is from RNAcentral. Lineage: Bacteria; Pseudomonadati; Pseudomonadota; Alphaproteobacteria; Caulobacterales; Caulobacteraceae.